CAGAGGAUAGUCUAAUUUAUGAUUACAGCUUUGGGAGUUGUGGAUGAAAGUUCGAUUCUUUCUCCUUUGA
RNAcentral lists this transfer RNA (70 nucleotides) under Stemonidium hypomelas. Its description in RNAcentral is "tRNA-Pro". It matches the Rfam family "tRNA". Rfam says of the family: Transfer RNA (tRNA) molecules are approximately 80 nucleotides in length. Their secondary structure includes four short double-helical elements and three loops (D, anti-codon, and T loops). The record is from RNAcentral. RNAcentral also lists the same sequence under 2 other names. Lineage: Eukaryota; Metazoa; Chordata; Actinopteri; Anguilliformes; Serrivomeridae.